CAGUAACGUUAGCGGGGUGCGGGCGAACGGAGCCGGGCGGCGGGGCCUGCAGAGCGGGCAGCCGGGCCCAACAAACCCCCUGUGUCGCAGAGCAGCAUGCGGUGCGACACUCGGCCCGAGUCUGGAAAGUGUGAAGUAGCCCAAGCAUUGCCCCCCGUUGUGGUUUUCCAUCUAGGGAUAUGUUGGUGAAAUAAGGAAAGUUUAAAGCGCAGAGUGGAGGGGAGGACACCCCGCACAGGUAGCGACUGCCAGCCGUGACGGCAUGGCAGUGAGAAGAACUGUAUUUCACCCAGUGCCCUUCUCCCGGUCACUGCCGCCUGGAAGCAGUGUUUGUCCUAGAAAUUCAAAUUACACUUCAAACCAGAACUGGGGAGUUGGGGCAUUUGACUUUUUUUGGGAAAAAAGCGCAACACGUGCUUAUUUCUAUAUCCGCUCAGAUUCCUAAUUGCAGCUUCACCGGGAAAACCAAUGACGUGCUUCAAACUGUAAUCCGGAGAGGGAAUGGUGAGACUCUUCAACUCCUUGGAGACUGCUAUGGGAGAUGAAGAGUUCAAACAUGAACUCACAGCAGUGAACAGCAGCUAUGGCAUUAAGGCUUUCAUAAAUGCAUGUUGAGAGGUAGCAGGUACAUGCUCAUUCUGUAAAGAGCAAGACCAGAAAUCAAGCUGUAGCAUCUGUUUAUGAGAGCUUAGAAAGUCAAGCCACUGGAGCACUUGGGGCUAUGAGAGGCUGGUAACUUUUCUCUGGGUUGAUAAAGACACUUUGGUACUGGCUUAAAGACUUGCGAGAGCUGAAGGCCAGCAUAUUUGUUUUCUGUGUGGCAAGGGAAUCAAACCCAGACUGAAACUUCCACAAUUGCCUUUGUCCCCUCCUGAUUUUACACAGGGCCAGCAACCCCUGUGCAGAGCAGAGAAAGGUUUACCUGAACUUUUCUUAACCCCAGCCUAGAAGUAAAUGGAUUCCUUCUUGUACCUUCCACUCUUCCCACGGAGACAUGUUUCUAUAUAUCCUGAUUUUCUGCUCCUCCCUGAGAUGAGCACUGCCUUUCAAGGUGACUGCUCAAAAAAAAGGUGUGAUGAAUGGGGAACAGCAGUAUGUGCUUCUGGUGCCACAGAAAUUAGCCAAGAUGCCGUGGUAUUUGACUCUGGAUUGCACAUUACUCAGGAAACCUUCACUGUUUUCCUGCAAAAAGUUCAGAAAAUCUUUAGGGAAAAAAAAAAAAAUCAGAAGCAGUUAUGACUAUCACAGAGAAGCAGAAAAUUCCCCAAACCCAAAAACAAAACCACACCUCUGUAUACCUCAUAUAUAUGCUAUUUCAUGUGGCUGAAAUGUUGCAUCACAUUCUGGUUCUGGCUAAGAUGUUGCAUCAAGCAACUGUCUUUUUCCUUUUCUGCUCUUAAGGAAUGUAACACUGCAUGGAUAGAAUAACUGCAGGAUGAAUAUUUAUGCAACUUAUCAUAGAAUAUGUCUAGAUCCAUGAGAGCUCAAAUUAGAGCAAAUGCAUAGUGAAGGACUGGUGAAAAGUCAGUGAGACCCACAAGUUGUGUAUAGCUGGCUUUUAUCAUAAUCCUACCCACCUACCUUGGGUCACACAAUUGUUUCCUGUAGUUCUCAACUAUUUAUUAUAUUUGUGUAAGAGUAGCUCGAUGGCUUUUUAACAUGCCUGUCUUUUCAGGACAGCCAACAGAAUAAAUUCACUAGCUGAGAUGCACCCCCUCCAUCAUCUUCUCUCUACUUCCACGUGACUGCUAAAUGCUAGUGUGAAAGCAUUGCAAAGAGCAGGCUAAUCAUACAAUGAAUCAGAAAAGGAAAACAAUUUUUUCUUCCCUUCCACUUGUUUACAAAUAAGGCAUUUAACCUCAGAUGUUGAAACAACAUUCCCAGAGGGGAAGAACUGAAGCUGAGGUAGUGUUGGAAGUUCAAAGGUAUUGCCUCUCACCUCUUCUGUGAAUGAUGCAAUAUGUUGCUUUAACCUGGUUAUUAUUCAUCAUUUCCACAGUGACAGCAGAAUUCAACACCCAUUUCAUAAGAGCCCACAUAAAAACAGGUUGCUGUGAAAUAAAUGACUGCUGCCACCUCUAACAUCCUUGACCAUUACUUUGUUCCCUCCUGGCUAGCCCAAGUAGCCACCUGCAGGGUACUUGCUAUGACCUUCCAGGGCAGUCAUGGGAAGGUCAGCCCAACUAAACGUGGGGCAUACUCUAUUGAGUAAGACCUGGCAGCUGCAGGUGAGAGCAAGAAGCAAAACAAUAAUCCAGAAGCAGCUGGAAAUUGCCAGACCGACACAGAUGAGAUAUUAGGAAAAACUCUUUAUCAUAAGGGUGUUGAGGUGCUGAAGCAGGUUGCUCAGAGAAGUUGUGGAUGCUCUAUUCCUGCAACUAUUUGAGGCCAGGUUGGAUGGAGCUCUGAGCCAUCUCGUCAGUGAAAGGUGUCAAUGCCCAUGGCAGGGGUGUUGAAACUAUGUGUCCUUCCAACCCAGGACAUUCUAUGAUCUGGCUGAGAGAUUAGUCUGUCACUGAGUAACUAAAUACUUCUCAUCCAAAAAGCAAUAAGAAGACAUCUUUUCUUAGAGAAGAAAAAAAAAAAAAGAAGAAGAAACAGUAUGCAAUAUAAAGCAUGUGAUAAAUAACAAGAUCAUAUCACCUCAUAACAUGGCUGAUGAAAAAUGGGAUUUUGUGGGCUCAGGUCCCUUUUAUCCUCCCUUUAUGUGUGUAAGACUGAGUAAAUGCUGGCUAAGUGAAGAGCUGAGUAUGCUGAACACGUCUUUAGCUUGGUAGGAAUGGGAGGCUUCAUACACCAACAUACAGAAAAGAGAAAGGUAUGUGACAUAAUAUUUUGUACCAAAACCUUUCAGGGGCUGCCCAUUGUUAUGUUAUGAAAUGAAGCUUGUUAAUAAUUUCAGCCAAGCUGCCAGCUAAACAUCAGACCUGCAGAUCUGCAGGGCCUUCCCUGGCCACAUUUUAGUCUGAAUUUCUUCCCUUGGCUACCUGGGACAGAACAUUUGUAGAUAUUUGAUGACUCUUGAAGUUGAGAACAGAAAAUAAAGCAGCUUAUAGAAUUGA
Molecule: long non-coding RNA, 3062 nt
Organism: Passer domesticus (house sparrow)
Lineage: Eukaryota; Metazoa; Chordata; Aves; Passeriformes; Passeridae
Exons: 2
Source: RefSeq, a predicted model, not a curated record